Molecule: long non-coding RNA, 879 nt
Organism: Rosa rugosa (rugosa rose)
Lineage: Eukaryota; Viridiplantae; Streptophyta; Magnoliopsida; Rosales; Rosaceae
Exons: 3
Source: RefSeq, a predicted model, not a curated record
UCAGACUAAGCCAUGGCGUUCCCAUUCUUAGAAGCAGUUAUUGGUUUUAUGAUAUUGAUGUACAACUUUGAAACUUACUUGGAUUUCCGCCAACAUGCUGCUCUCAAACUUCCAACACUUCCUAAAACUUUGGAAGGAGUAAUCAGCCCAGAAAAGUUUGAGAAGUCGAGAGCCUACUGUCUUGAAUGAAGCUUCCGGAGGGUCCGCUUAGGGAGAAAAGUGAGAAGCUCGCUUCUUCCCUCAUGUUUCCAUUAAAUUAAAGAAGUUGUUUGUCGUUGAUGGAUCUAUAAGGUCAAGUCACAGCAAUGUGAGGACUUUCACAAUGUUUACGUUGUUCUGAAUUUUUGUGGACUUUCUCGAUCAUCUUACCUAUAUAUCAUGGUACAGGCCUAUAUGUAUGGAUUUUUUAAGAACAAGAGGAUUGUCCUUUAUGAUACACUGAUCCAGCAUGUAUUAAUUUCAUACCAAAAAAUUAUCAAAACUUGUAUUGUCUCGGUUAGUUUGUUGUUGUAUAUAUCAUUGUGGAAAAAAGGUAUUUAUGUGUGUAAAUGAGUGCUUGCAGUGCAAAAAUGAUGAGGAAAUUGUAGCUGUUCUAGCUCAUGAGCUAGGCCAUUGGAAGCUUAAUCACAGUGUAUACUUAUUCAUUUCUAUGCAGGUAUGUAUGCUAUAAUUUUUCUUGCAAAUGCAUGUCAUUUUAGAAACUAGUGACAUUUAUGGCCGGUUGACACUGAGUAAGCUCUUCAGUAUUGCUGUGUGAUUUUUCUACAUUGGUGCAGAUCUGUACGCUGUUACACUUUGGGGGAUAUGCUCUCCUGAGAAAGUCCAGCAGUCUGUCUCAAAGUUUUGGGUUUGAUACCCAACCAGUAAUCAUUGGUCUCA